Molecule: long non-coding RNA, 1315 nt
Organism: Apteryx rowi (Okarito brown kiwi)
Lineage: Eukaryota; Metazoa; Chordata; Aves; Apterygiformes; Apterygidae
Source: Ensembl
CGACGUGUGUCACACGCAGGGAGGGGUGACGGGCGAGAAGGGGAUUUAGGAGCCCGGGGGGUGACACACGGGGGGGUUUAUUGGUGUCAAACGUAUUCGGGAGCCCAAACAGGUGUCGCACGAGGGGGUUUGUCAGUGUCAAACAUAUUCCGGAGCCCAAACAGGCGUCGCACGAGGGGGUUUGUCAGUGUCAAACGUAUUCUGGAGCCCAAACAGGCAUCACACAAGGGGGUUUGUCAGUGUCAAACAUAUUCCGGAUCCCAAACAGGCGUCGCACAAGGGGGUUUGUCAGUGUCAAACAUAUUCCAGAUCCCAAACAGGUGUCGCACGAAGGUGUUUAUCGGUGUCAAACGUAUUCCGGAUCCCAAACAGGUGUCGCACGAGGGAGUUUGUCAGUGUCAAACGUAUUCAGGAUCCCAAACAGGCGUCACACAAGGGGGUUUAUUGGUAUCAAACGUAUUCUGGAGCCCAAACAGGCGUUGCAUGGGGGGUUUAUUUGCACGGAAGAGGUUUAGGAGCCUGAUGGGUGUCACACGAGAGUGUUUAUCAGUGUCAAAGAUAGUCUGGAUCCCAAACAGGCGUCACACGAGGGUGUUUAUCGGUGCCAAAGAUCUUCCGGCUCCCAAACAGGCGUCGCGCGAGGGGGUUUAUUUACACGGAAGAGAUUUAGGAGCCUGACGCCCGUCGCACGGUGACUUACAGCCGCCGGAGCCGUUCCRCAGCCUGGCUGGCGGCAGCCGCCCCCCUUUCCCUCCGCUACCACCGUCCCCCGUCGUCACCCGCCGUCAGCCGUCCUCCCGCAAGCUCCUGACGGCCGGGUUGGGGUACUCGGGGUUCUCGAUGGCGCCGGGGCCGAACUUGAGCUCCAGGAAGGCGCGGACGUCGUGGGGGGCCAUGGCGGUGAAGCCGGCGAAGGGCAGCGGGCGCAGCGGUAGCAACAGGCGCUCGGGGAACUCCACGUCCUGCCGGUGGUCCAACCACGUGUCCUUGGUCAUGACGCCGUCGCGGGCGUAGAAGGGCCACAGGUCGACGUGGAGGCGGUUGGCGCGGCUGUAGUGCACGCGGAAGAAGUCGCCCUCGGGCGCCUUCUCCCACACGAAGCCCUCGUCGUCCACCACGGCGCCGCCGGCGGCCGCCUGUCGCAACAGGCGGCACUUGGCGGCGUCCUCCCGGUAGAUGCCCAGGUCCACGUCGUAAUCCCAAGGGAUGAUGUCGCCGUGGCGCGCGGCGCCCAGCAGCGAGCCRCCCUCCAGCCAGUACCGCACGCCGGCGGCGGUCAGCACGGCGGCGGUGCGGCGCGCUGUAGCCCGCAGCG